UGGGGAAUUUUGGACAAUGGGCGAAAGCCUGAUCCAGCAAUGCCGCGUGUGUGAAGAAGGCCUUCGGGUUGUAAAGUACUUUUGUCCGGAAAGAAAUCCUUGGCUCUAAUACAGUCGGGGGAUGACGGUACCGGAAGAAUAAGCACCGGCUAACUACGUGCCAGCAGCCGCGGUAAUACGUAGGGUGCAAGCGUUAAUCGGAAUUACUGGGCGUAAAGCGUGCGCAGGCGGUUUGCUAAGACCGAUGUGAAAUCCCCGGGCUCAACCUGGGAACUGCAUUGGUGACUGGCAGGCUAGAGUAUGGCAGAGGGGGGUAGAAUUCCACGUGUAGCAGUGAAAUGCGUAGAGAUGUGGAGGAAUACCGAUGGCGAAGGCAGCCCCCUGGGCCAAUACUGACGCUCAUGCACGAAAGCGUGGGGAGCAAACAGGAUUAGAUACCCUGGUAGUCCACGCCCUAAACGAUGUCAACUAGUUGUUGGGGAUUCAUUUCCUUAGUAACGUAGCUAACGCGUGAAGUUGACCGCCUGGGGAGUACGGUCGCAAGAUUAAAACUCAAAGGAAUUGACGGGGUCAUAGCUGUUUCCU
Molecule: ribosomal RNA, 585 nt
Filed under: uncultured bacterium
Lineage: Bacteria
Description: partial 16S ribosomal RNA
Rfam family: Bacterial small subunit ribosomal RNA
Source: RNAcentral